GAUGAACGCUGGCGGCGUGCUUAACACAUGCAAGUCGAACGAAGCAUUUAGGACAGAUUACUUCGGUUUGAAGUUCUUUAUGACUGAGUGGCGGACGGGUGAGUAACGCGUGGGUAACCUGCCUUGUACUGGGGGAUAGCAGCUGGAAACGGCUGGUAAUACCGCAUAAGCGCACAAUGUUGCAUGACAUGGUGUGAAAAACUCCGGUGGUAUAAGAUGGACCCGCGUCUGAUUAGCUAGUUGGUGAGAUAACAGCCCACCAAGGCGACGAUCAGUAGCCGACCUGAGAGGGUGACCGGCCACAUUGGGACUGAGACACGGCCCAGACUCCUACGGGAGGCAGCAGUGGGGAAUAUUGCACAAUGGAGGAAACUCUGAUGCAGCGACGCCGCGUGAGUGAAGAAGUAAUUCGUUAUGUAAAGCUCUAUCAGCAGGGAAGAUAGUGACGGUACCUGACUAAGAAGCACCGGCUAAAUACGUG
Molecule: ribosomal RNA, 481 nt
Filed under: uncultured bacterium
Lineage: Bacteria
Description: partial 16S ribosomal RNA
Rfam family: Bacterial small subunit ribosomal RNA
Source: RNAcentral